Molecule: ribosomal RNA, 497 nt
Filed under: uncultured bacterium
Lineage: Bacteria
Description: partial 16S ribosomal RNA
Rfam family: Bacterial small subunit ribosomal RNA
Source: RNAcentral
GACGAACGCUGGCGGCGUGCCUAAUACAUGCAAGUUGAGCGCUGAAGGUUGGUACUUGUACCAACUGGAUGAGCAGCGAACGGGUGAGUAACGCGUGGGGAAUCUGCCUUUGAGCGGGGGACAACAUUUGGAAACGAAUGCUAAUACCGCAUAAAAACUUUAAACACAAGUUUUAAGUUUGAAAGAUGCAAUUGCAUCACUCAAAGAUGAUCCCGCGUUGUAUUAGCUAGUUGGUGAGGUAAAGGCUCACCAAGGCGAUGAUACAUAGCCGACCUGAGAGGGUGAUCGGCCACAUUGGGACGGAGACACGGCCCAAACUCCUACGGGAGGCAGCAGUAGGGAAUCUUCGGCAAUGGACGAAAGUCUGACCGAGCAACGCCGCGUGAGUGAAGAAGGGUUUCGGAUCGUAAAACUCGGUAGGUAGAGAAGAACGUUGGUGAGAGUGGAAAGCUCAUCAAGUGACGGUAACUACCCAGAAAGGGACGGCUAACUACGUG